CAUAAACCCAACAGGCAGGUCUCUGACAGCCUGGUGUGUGACUGAAGGUGGAAGGGUACAUUUUUCAAAGUUCCAGAGCUUUCGGUUUUAGAAGUAAAACUUUUCUGAGUUACCUGUGCUUAAAGGACGAGGAACUCUGUGAAUCAGCCUAAGUGACAGCUCCGGAAAGAAAGAAUUGACUCAUGCUUCUUAAACCUCUUUUCGCGCUUCCCUCACAACACCUCCGGGAAGAGCUGACACGGGGAAGGAAGACCCAUUGUGUGGGGAUUGUGGAUCCUCUAAGAUGCUACUGACUGAGCCAUCUCACCAACCCCCUGGCUAAACUCUCACAGACAAGGUACCUUCUACAUAAAACAAAAGGGACUGAG
RNAcentral lists this long non-coding RNA (368 nucleotides) under Cricetulus griseus (Chinese hamster). Its description in RNAcentral is "lncRNA (ENSCGRG00015043129.1)". Lineage: Eukaryota; Metazoa; Chordata; Mammalia; Rodentia; Cricetidae. The record is from RNAcentral.